Rattus norvegicus (Norway rat) is the source of this 120-nucleotide small nucleolar RNA. Ensembl annotates it as small nucleolar RNA SNORA17. The record is from Ensembl. Lineage: Eukaryota; Metazoa; Chordata; Mammalia; Rodentia; Muridae.
CUUUCCCCUAAAGGUGUUGUGGGUGUGGCUGCUGUGUCACAUGAGCGUCAGUAUAUGGCAGAGAGGAGAUAGGCUAUUGUUCUGACCUAUGAAAAUCUGAAUGACGGGUAACCUAACUAA